UAUAGCAGCCAUAUCACCCUGCAACUCACAACUGGCAACCCACUGAAGCUAAGCAGGUGUGAGCUUGGUCAGUACCUGGAUGGGAGACCUCCUGGGAAAAACUAAGGUAGCUGCUGGAA
This is a ribosomal RNA of Lepisosteus oculatus (spotted gar), 119 nucleotides long. The record is from Ensembl. Lineage: Eukaryota; Metazoa; Chordata; Actinopteri; Semionotiformes; Lepisosteidae.